GGACCAGCUAGGACAUCCAGCCUUCAACUGGGCCAAAUGUAAAGAACACAUAUUUGGUCUGCUUAUUCCCUCUGAAAGCCUCUGCUGUAGUCUAUUUCCUUCCAGUGCAUGGUAACAAGUGGCUGCUCUCAGAAAAGUACUGUGACUACUGCCUACUAGGUUCUUUAAUUUCCUUCCCCCUUUCUCUCUCGAUCCACCUUCCCCAUAUGACCUUGUUCCCUAGCCCUGCCUCAAGUCCCAGACUAACCCAGCCCUCAGUCAGCAAGGUGGUGGGUGACACUGGUUUGAAGAUCUCCCUGGGUCUCCUCUAGCCAGUCAGACUGGUGGCGUGUUUGGAAACCACAGGCCCAGACCGUGGCUGUCAGACCUCCCGGACGCCAUCUGCUGCCGGUCUAUCAUCAUCAUCCUCAGGUACUGCGCUCAUCUGGCCGGGCUUCCACCUACCACCCUCUGCUGCAGCUGUCCCACAAGCGAGAGUGCCGCCUCCUGACACCACGAGAGAGCCUAUCUGGAUUCCAGGAACAAAUCCAUCCUUGUCUGCCUCCUUCCCACAGAAGAUAAACAUUAAUGGCAUUAUAACAUUGAACAGGCCUAAGGGAGAGAGAAAACCAGAAAGCCUGCCUGUCUCACUGCCUCCAUGCCCAGCCCAUGAACAGCGCUUGCCCUGCUGUGUCUAGCGAGCCACCCACAAAGAAGGAGGUCGGCAGAAGUGAAGAUUCAUCCUAGAGACUAUCCUUGCUGGCUUGAUGAACUAAGCAGCCAUGUUUGGGAAGCUCAUAUUGUGAGGAACUAUGGGAAGCCCCCACUCCCAGCCCUUCAUCCCAGGAAGAAGCUGGGAUCCUUGGUCUUAGAGCCACAAGAAAAUGAACUCUACCAAGAAUGUGAGUGAGCUUGGAAGGGAUUUUUUCUCCAGUUAAGCGUCUAGAGAAGAGUACAGUCCAGCUGAUACCUUGACUGCAGUCUUGUGAGACUCUAAGUAGGGGGAUCAUCUAAGCCUUGCCUACACCUGCAGAAAUUGUGAGAUAAUAAAUGGGUGUUUUCAACCACUAAUUAUGUGGCAAUUUGUUAUGCAGCCAUAGAAAAAAAAUGAAUACUCUGCUAUGCUCAAUGCCAUAUAUGUGAUUCUCUCACUUAGUGCUUGAAGUAACCCCAAGAACCUAAUACUAAUAUCCCCAUGUUACAGAUAAAGCAACUGAGGCUCAGGAGUUGAACUCCAGAACAUUCUGCUCUCAACCACUGUACUAUCAUAGUACUAUUACAUACUAUCAUUUCAUUUUACUGUAGUUCAUUAUUUCAUGGAUUCUAGUUUAUCAUGGUUUAAAAUUUAUCUCCUGAAUAUACCAACUAUUUUUAGGAAAUGUCCUAUUAGGCAUACCUAGUACACAAAGGAGAUGAUUUUAUGAAUUCAACAUUACAAGGAACUUCCCUAUAAUUCAUUUUUGAUGUAUUUUUACCACAUAUCUCACAGAAAUAUUAGACUCAUGAAUAGGAAAGUUUCUCUUUUGUGUAAAAUAGUGAUGGGCUUUGAACUAUUUAGAAGGGAGAAAAAUUGUGGCUGUUGAUUUGGAAUUAGAAUACUCAAGUAAACAUCAGUUAGAAUGUGCUGGCUAUGGAGUCUGUCUUUAACUUCACUGCAAGAAUAAAAUACUUCAUCUUGUUUCCUAAUUUCCCCAUUUCUAAUCAGGUAGAAGGAAAAAUUAGGAAGUGGAGAGAUUUAGAAAUGUUUUUCCCCCCUUACAACUAAAGUCCUAUUUGGUUUAGUGUUCUGAGUAGCUGAGAUGGAAUUAUGACCCCACUACUCUAUCUUCUAAUGAGAAUUCUUUCUAUUCUGCAU
Manis pentadactyla (Chinese pangolin) is the source of this 1834-nucleotide long non-coding RNA. RefSeq lists it as uncharacterized. Lineage: Eukaryota; Metazoa; Chordata; Mammalia; Pholidota; Manidae. The transcript has 3 exons. The record is from RefSeq and is a predicted model, not a curated record.